RNAcentral lists this ribosomal RNA (298 nucleotides) under uncultured bacterium. RNAcentral describes it as "partial 16S ribosomal RNA". It matches the Rfam family "Bacterial small subunit ribosomal RNA", at positions 775 to 1067 of the family's 1533-position model. The record is from RNAcentral.
GGAUUAGAUACCCUGGUAGUCCACGCCCUAAACGAUGCACACUAGAUCGAGGUGUCUCUGACGGCAUCUCGGUCGAAGAGAAAUUGUUAAGUGUGCCGCCUGGGGAGUACGGUCGCAAGGCUAAAACUCAAAGGAAUUGACGGGGGCUCACACAAGCGGUGGAGCAUGUUGCUUAAUUCGAAGCAACGCGAAGAACCUUACCCGGGUUUGACAUGUACGGAUUAGCUUAUGGAAACAUGAGUGACGCUUUCGGGUGGAACGUACACAGGUGCUGCAUGGCUGUCGUCAGCUCGUGCCG